UGGAUCAAUGAUGACUACUGGUGGCGUAUGAGUCAUAUAUGAUGAACAGGUGUCUGGAACUCUAAGGUCCAA
RNAcentral lists this small nucleolar RNA (72 nucleotides) under Equus asinus (donkey). Its description in RNAcentral is "Small nucleolar RNA SNORD113/SNORD114 family (ENSEASG00005028217.1, ENSEASG00020017637.1)". It matches the Rfam family "Small nucleolar RNA SNORD113/SNORD114 family". Rfam says of the family: The imprinted human domain at 14q32 contains two clusters of tandemly repeated small nucleolar RNAs named 14q(I) and 14q(II) snoRNAs. These two clusters are named SNORD113 and SNORD114 respectively in the HGNC approved gene symbol nomenclature. The record is from Rfam by way of RNAcentral. Lineage: Eukaryota; Metazoa; Chordata; Mammalia; Perissodactyla; Equidae.